GGCACUCCCCUGCCAGUGUACGAGGCAGUGUGAAGCUGGGGCCAGCUCCCCGCAGCCUCUGGAGUGCAUCGCAGACCUUUCAAGACCUAUGUUGCUGGCCCCCCAGAACCCGGAACAUGGCAGAAGGGGCGCAGGCCAACCCCAAAGGGUUCAAAAAGAAGGUGCUGGGUAGAUGCCUCUCUGGGAGGAGGGGCCCAAGCUUCGGGGCCUCCUGUCCUUCAAGAACCUCCAGGUCUAGCCUGGGUCUGAAGAAGCUCUUCGCCAUGGCCAUCCUCGCUGGCAGUGUUCUGUCCACAGCCCACAGCAGCCUGCUCAACCUGAAGGCCAUGGUGGAGGCCGUCACAGGGAGGAGCGCCAUCCUGUCCUUCGUGGGCUACGGCUGCUACUGUGGGUUGGGGGGCCGUGGGCAGCCCAAGGAUGAAGUGGACUGGUGCUGCCAUGCCCACGACUGCUGCUACCAGGAACUCUUUGACCAGGGCUGCCACCCCUACGUGGACCACUACGACCACACCAUUGAGAAUGACACUGAGAUCAUCUGCAGUGAGCUCAACAAGACAGAGUGUGACAAGCAGACGUGCGCGUGUGACAAGAAUGUGGUUCUGUGCCUCAUGAACAGGAUAUACCGAGAGGAGUACCGAGGCUUCCUCAACGUCUACUGCCAGGGCUCCACACCCAGCUGCAGCAUCUACAAACCGCCCCCUGAGGAGGUCACCUACAGUCACCCAUCCCCGGCGCCCCCCACCUUUCCCUAGAGCCUCUGAGGUCUGAGAGAGAAGAGCAGGUGGAGGGUCUGGCUUGGGGACCAGAGAGAGGAGCAGGGAGGGUAGGAGCCAGGCUGGGAGCCCCAGGGUUGCUGGUUGCCUCCUCCCUGGAGCCCUCCAGUGAGGGCUCAGCAGCCCCCACCCCCGAGGACUCAGGAAGGCCUGGGUCCUGACUUUGGUUGCAUCUCACCACUGAUUCUGCAUUAGGUGGGAAGCACAGAGCUUUAGGGGUCUCUCCUGAUGAGGGUGGCCGGGGAGAUCCGAGAGAGAGAGAGAGAGAGAGAGAGAGAGAGAGAGAGAGAGGAAGAGCAAGAGAGAGAGAGAGAGACAGGAGGGGCCUCUCAGUAGAGCCUCUGUUGUGGCCCCAGCUUGACUCCCCGGAGCCUUAGAGAGUCUGAGCCACCAGCCGAGGCCCAGAGGUGGGUGCAGUCCCGGCCCAAGGUCACAGGAAGGCAGAUUGCUGGUCCCAAAGCUUGGGUUCCAGGACCCCUCGGCUGGUCCCACAGGAUGGUCCGGGGUGGCGGUUACUUUGGGCUUGAGGCUCUCUAGAGCAGGUGGCCUCACCCCAGCCCUCGCUAAGGUGGCCAUGAGUCCAGGCUCAGACCCCAGGGUAUAGCGCUGUGUUGAGUGUCCCAGCCCUGGAGUCCAGCCUCAGAGCAGAAUCCUGGGCACUGACAGAGCCACACCCAGGGACACCCCCGGCCUAAUAUGGGGACACAUGAAAACCCAGCCCCGACGCCUGCAAGUCUUCUCUGUAUCCCCCAUUGACUCAUGCGUGUCACCCCGGCCCUGCCCCACCACACCGCAUGGCUCUGAGGAAUGCCCCUACCCCCGCCAGGGACCCCUAUCCAGGUCCCUGACAGACACUGCCCUCCUGGCCUGCCUCUGGAACGGUGAAGGGGGGACCCUCACCCUCUCUCCCUGGGCUGUGGGCAGGUGUCACAAGUCCCAUUGGUGGGGAAGAGGCUGAGGGCUGAGACCGACCUCAGUGAAGAGGGAAGCAAAGGAGGGAGAACACCAAGGUGGGAGGCUGUGUGGAAGAUUCUAGAAGACGGUCAAGGUGGGAGGCUGUGUGGAAGAUUCUAGAAGACGGUCAAGGUGGGAGGCUGUGUGGAAGAUUCUAGAAGACGGUCAAGGUGGGAGGCUGUGUGGAAGAUUCUAGAAGGCAGUAAGGAGGGAACAGGGUGGUGAAGGAGAGGGGAGAAGAUGGAAGCCAGAAGAGACGAGGUGAGUGACCAGCAGAGAGGGGCCUCCAGGCAGCACAGAGGAGCUGGGGGCAGGCCCUUGUGGGGCUGGGUGUCUGUGUGGGGCCUGGAACCGGGCUGAGGUGGAGGGGACGCCCCUGCGGGCCCCCAGCACUGCUGUUUCUCCAGGUGCACCUGCCCCUGCUCCUUACCUGUCCGAGCCUCAACUCAGGGUCGGCGGCCUCCACGGAGCCAGCCCCACCAGUCCGAUGACCACUGAGGCCCUUCUCUGCCUGGACUCAACAGCCACCAGCAAGCUCAUCCGGCAGUGCCCCGGGCACCAUUGUUGAUGGGGAGGAAGGGCAGAGGAGGGACAUGUAUGAAAAGGAGGCCAGGGAGCCUCACCAGCCCCAGGUUCCAGAGGCCCAGCCAUGGAGACAAGGACACUGCCCCCCAGUGCCACCGUCAGUGUGUGAGGGUCCCAUGCUGUCCUCCACCACUCCCCACUCCCCACUCCGCCACAGCGCCGCCUCCUGCUGGCCAUGGUCCGCGGGCUAGGGGAACGCAGGUUCCAGGCUACGCCCCUCGACACGCACACACACCCUCCCCUGCCCCCCAGGAAGUCCAGGCCAAGGUCUGGGGAUGGGAUUCUGCUGCCUGGGGGUCCUGCCCACCCCCACUCACCCCAGACACUUUGGAUGCUGCAGCUCCCGGAGAAUCUCCACAGGACUCGGCUUCCCCUCCUCAAAUGAAUAAAGGCCUCCUACCUCAACUCUC
Molecule: non-coding RNA, 2722 nt
Organism: Saimiri boliviensis boliviensis (Bolivian squirrel monkey)
Lineage: Eukaryota; Metazoa; Chordata; Mammalia; Primates; Cebidae
Source: RefSeq, a predicted model, not a curated record